This 405-nucleotide ribosomal RNA is filed under the name uncultured prokaryote. RNAcentral describes it as "bacterial SSU rRNA". It matches the Rfam family "Bacterial small subunit ribosomal RNA", at positions 355 to 774 of the family's 1533-position model. The record is from RNAcentral.
UGGGGAAUAUUGGACAAUGGACCAAAAGUCUGAUCCAGCAAUUCUGUGUGCACGAUGAAGUUUUUCGGAAUGUAAAGUGCUUUCAGUUGGGAAGAAGUCAGUGACGGUACCAACAGAAGAAGCGACGGCUAAAUACGUGCCAGCAGCCGCGGUAAUACGUAUGUCGCAAGCGUUAUCCGGAUUUAUUGGGCGUAAAGCGCGUCUAGGCGGUUUAGUAAGUCUGAUGUGAAAAUGCGGGGCUCAACCCCGUAUUGCGUUGGAAACUGCUAAACUAGAGUACUGGAGAGGUAGGCGGAACUACAAGUGUAGAGGUGAAAUUCGUAGAUAUUUGUAGGAAUGCCGAUGGGGAAGCCAGCCUACUGGACAGAUACUGACGCUAAAGCGCGAAAGCGUGGGUAGCAAACA